This 486-nucleotide long non-coding RNA is filed under the name Capsella rubella. RNAcentral's name for it is "long non-coding RNA (CRUB_LNC001817)". The record is from RNAcentral. Lineage: Eukaryota; Viridiplantae; Streptophyta; Magnoliopsida; Brassicales; Brassicaceae.
CUGUAACUAGUUACUGGAACAAGAACUCAAAGUUUUGUAUCAAGAACGAGAAAGAAGGUUAACGCAAAUCCCAGAGUGGUGAAGCUUGUUGGAACUCAUUGCUAGUCGAAGCUCUAUGAUUACAAAGGUAACUUCGAAUUAUAGUUGUUUUAAGUCGUGUUUAGAUGUACACAGAUGAAUACAUAUUGCUUUCUAUCACGACUCUUGUGUUCUACAUAUUUUCAUAUGUUUUGUUUAUUCCAGGUGUAUGUAUAUAUUCAGAGAUGCUGCAAUAUUACUUUAUUAUGGUGGAAAACAUUGAUCAAAUCCGGCGUCACGACUUUGAGGUUACAGGGGUAAAAGGAACCAAAACUGUUACUUUACAACUUGGCUCCCUUCAAUUAGCAAAUAUUUCAUACUCGUCCCCUUUAUUUGCAGGUGUAUCUACGUAACAUAGGGAAUGGCUCCAGGUUCAAGGUUUUCUCAUUCGCUAGACCUUGAUUGAGG